This 1466-nucleotide ribosomal RNA is filed under the name Salmonella enterica subsp. enterica serovar Hull. RNAcentral describes it as "bacterial SSU rRNA". It matches the Rfam family "Bacterial small subunit ribosomal RNA". The record is from RNAcentral. Lineage: Bacteria; Pseudomonadati; Pseudomonadota; Gammaproteobacteria; Enterobacterales; Enterobacteriaceae.
GAUUGACGCUGGCGGCAGGCCUAACACAUGCAAGUCGAACGGUAACAGGAAGCAGCUUGCUGCUUUGCUGACGAGUGGCGGACGGGUGAGUAAUGUCUGGGAAACUGCCUGAUGGAGGGGGAUAACUACUGGAAACGGUGGCUAAUACCGCAUAACGUCGCAAGACCAAAGAGGGGGACCUUCGGGCCUCUUGCCAUCAGAUGUGCCCAGAUGGGAUUAGCUUGUUGGUGAGGUAACGGCUCACCAAGGCGACGAUCCCUAGCUGGUCUGAGAGGAUGACCAGCCACACUGGAACUGAGACACGGUCCAGACUCCUACGGGAGGCAGCAGUGGGGAAUAUUGCACAAUGGGCGCAAGCCUGAUGCAGCCAUGCCGCGUGUAUGAAGAAGGCCUUCGGGUUGUAAAGUACUUUCAGCGGGGAGGAAGGUGUUGUGGUUAAUAACCGCAGCAAUUGACGUUACCCGCAGAAGAAGCACCGGCUAACUCCGUGCCAGCAGCCGCGGUAAUACGGAGGGUGCAAGCGUUAAUCGGAAUUACUGGGCGUAAAGCGCACGCAGGCGGUCUGUCAAGUCGGAUGUGAAAUCCCCGGGCUCAACCUGGGAACUGCAUUCGAAACUGGCAGGCUUGAGUCUUGUAGAGGGGGGUAGAAUUCCAGGUGUAGCGGUGAAAUGCGUAGAGAUCUGGAGGAAUACCGGUGGCGAAGGCGGCCCCCUGGACAAAGACUGACGCUCAGGUGCGAAAGCGUGGGGAGCAAACAGGAUUAGAUACCCUGGUAGUCCACGCCGUAAACGAUGUCUACUUGGAGGUUGUGCCCUUGAGGCGUGGCUUCCGGAGCUAACGCGUUAAGUAGACCGCCUGGGGAGUACGGCCGCAAGGUUAAAACUCAAAUGAAUUGACGGGGGCCCGCACAAGCGGUGGAGCAUGUGGUUUAAUUCGAUGCAACGCGAAGAACCUUACCUGGUCUUGACAUCCACAGAACUUUCCAGAGAUGGAUUGGUGCCUUCGGGAACUGUGAGACAGGUGCUGCAUGGCUGUCGUCAGCUCGUGUUGUGAAAUGUUGGGUUAAGUCCCGCAACGAGCGCAACCCUUAUCCUUUGUUGCCAGCGGUCCGGCCGGGAACUCAAAGGAGACUGCCAGUGAUAAACUGGAGGAAGGUGGGGAUGACGUCAAGUCAUCAUGGCCCUUACGACCAGGGCUACACACGUGCUACAAUGGCGCAUACAAAGAGAAGCGACCUCGCGAGAGCAAGCGGACCUCAUAAAGUGCGUCGUAGUCCGGAUUGGAGUCUGCAACUCGACUCCAUGAAGUCGGAAUCGCUAGUAAUCGUGGAUCAGAAUGCCACGGUGAAUACGUUCCCGGGCCUUGUACACACCGCCCGUCACACCAUGGGAGUGGGUUGCAAAAGAAGUAGGUAGCUUAACCUUCGGGAGGGCGCUUACCACUUUGUGAUUCAUGACUGGGGUGAA